GACGAACCGUGCGAACGUUGUUCGGAUUCACUGGGCUUAAAGGGCGCGUAGGCGGGUUUUCAAGUCUGGGGUGAAAUCCUCUCGCUCAACGAGAGAACUGCCCUGGAUACUGGAGACCUCGAGGGAGGUAGGGGCAUGUGGAACUUCCGGUGGAGCGGUGAAAUGCGUAGAUAUCGGAAGGAACGCCGGUGGCGAAAGCGACGUGCUGGACCUCUUCUGACGCUGAGGCGCGAAAGCUAGGGUAGCAAAUGGG
RNAcentral lists this ribosomal RNA (253 nucleotides) under uncultured bacterium. RNAcentral's name for it is "partial 16S ribosomal RNA". It matches the Rfam family "Bacterial small subunit ribosomal RNA", at positions 524 to 776 of the family's 1533-position model. The record is from RNAcentral.